This 73-nucleotide transfer RNA is filed under the name Marmota monax (woodchuck). RNAcentral describes it as "tRNA.Ala". The record is from RNAcentral. Lineage: Eukaryota; Metazoa; Chordata; Mammalia; Rodentia; Sciuridae.
UGGGGUUUUGGCUCAGUGGUAGAGCACUUGCCUAGCAUGUGUGAGGUGCUGGGUUCAGUUCCCAGCACCACAU